Echinops telfairi (small Madagascar hedgehog) is the source of this 107-nucleotide small nuclear RNA. NCBI's taxonomy places the organism in Eukaryota, Metazoa, Chordata, Mammalia, Afrosoricida, Tenrecidae. The record is from RefSeq and is a predicted model, not a curated record.
GUGCCGGCUGCAACGGCACAUAUACUAAAAUUGGACCGAUACAGAGAAGAUUAGCAUGGCCCCUGGCCAAGGCUGACACGCAAAUUCGUGAAACCUUCCAUAUUAAA